AUGGCGCUCUCCCUCUCCACCUCCUUCCUCCCGACCCCAGGCGCCGCCGCCGUCGCGAGAACCGCAAACCGCACCCUCCGCUCCCUCGUCCCCUCCCAGGGGAUGAGGUGCUCGAUGCGGAAGAAGGGGCUGCACCCGGAGAUCUUCGAGGACGCCAAGGUGUACUGCAACGGUGAGCUGGUGCUGGUGACGGGGGGCACGAAGCCGGAGUACUCGGUGGACGUCUGGUCGGGGAACCACCCCUACUACGUCGGCGACUCCUCGGCGCUGGUCGUCAUGGACAGCCAGAUCGAGAAGUUCCGCAAGAAGUGGGGGCACGUCAAGGAGUACUGGACCAAGGAGCAGUGGCUGGAGAUGCACCCUGACGGCGACCCGGAGUUUGAGCCGGAGGACGACGAGACCCGCAAAUGA
This 411-nucleotide ribosomal RNA is filed under the name Triticum aestivum (bread wheat). RNAcentral describes it as "partial small subunit ribosomal RNA". The record is from RNAcentral. Lineage: Eukaryota; Viridiplantae; Streptophyta; Magnoliopsida; Poales; Poaceae.